RNAcentral lists this ribosomal RNA (223 nucleotides) under uncultured bacterium. Its description in RNAcentral is "partial 16S ribosomal RNA". It matches the Rfam family "Bacterial small subunit ribosomal RNA", at positions 944 to 1167 of the family's 1533-position model. The record is from RNAcentral.
UGCUUAAUUCGAGGCAACGCGAAGAACCUUACCUGGGUUUGACAUGUAGGGAAAAGCUGUAGAGAUGCAGUGUCCUUCGGGGCCCUACACAGGUGGUGCAUGGGCUGUCGUCAGCUCGUGUCGUGAGAUGUUGGGUUAAGUCCCGCAACGAGCGCAACCCUUAUCCUAUGUUGCCAGCGCGUUAUGGCGGGGACUCGUGGGAGACUGCCGGGGUCAACUCGGA